RNAcentral lists this ribosomal RNA (116 nucleotides) under Oreochromis niloticus (Nile tilapia). The record is from RNAcentral. Lineage: Eukaryota; Metazoa; Chordata; Actinopteri; Cichliformes; Cichlidae.
GCUUACGGCCAUACCACCCUGAACACGCCCGAUCUCGUCUGAUCUCGGAAGCUAAGCAGGGUCGGCCUGUCAGUACUUGGAUGGGAGACCGCCUGGAAUACCAGGUGCUGUAAGCU